This 728-nucleotide ribosomal RNA is filed under the name Streptomyces sp. RNAcentral's name for it is "bacterial SSU rRNA". It matches the Rfam family "Bacterial small subunit ribosomal RNA", at positions 137 to 876 of the family's 1533-position model. Lineage: Bacteria; Bacillati; Actinomycetota; Actinomycetes; Kitasatosporales; Streptomycetaceae. The record is from RNAcentral.
UCUGGGACAAGCCCUGGAAACGGGGUCUAAUACCGGAUAUGACCUGCUCUCGCAUGAGAUGUGGGUGGAAAGCUUCGGCGGUGCAGGAUGAGCCCGCGGCCUAUCAGCUUGUUGGUGGGGUGAUGGCCUACCAAGGCGACGACGGGUAGCCGGCCUGAGAGGGCGACCGGCCACACUGGGACUGAGACACGGCCCAGACUCCUACGGGAGGCAGCAGUGGGGAAUAUUGCACAAUGGGCGGAAGCCUGAUGCAGCGACGCCGCGUGAGGGAUGACGGCCUUCGGGUUGUAAACCUCUUUCAGCAGGGAAGAAGCGCAAGUGACGGUACCUGCAGAAGAAGCACCGGCUAACUACGUGCCAGCAGCCGCGGUAAUACGUAGGGUGCGAGCGUUGUCCGGAAUUAUUGGGCGUAAAGAGCUCGUAGGCGGCUUGUCGCGUCGGAUGUGAAAGCCCGGGGCUUAACUCCGGGUCUGCAUUCGAUACGGGCAGGCUAGAGUUCGGUAGGGGAGAUCGGAAUUCCUGGUGUAGCGGUGAAAUGCGCAGAUAUCAGGAGGAACACCGGUGGCGAAGGCGGAUCUCUGGGCCGAUACUGACGCUGAGGAGCGAAAGCGUGGGGAGCGAACAGGAUUAGAUACCCUGGUAGUCCACGCCGUAAACGUUGGGAACUAGGUGUGGGCGACAUUCCACGUCGUCCGUGCCGCAGCUAACGCAUUAAGUUCCCCGCCUGG